UACGUAGGGUGCGAGCGUUGUCCGGAAUUAUUGGGCGUAAAGAGCUCGUAGGCGGCCUGUCGCGUCGGUUGUGAAAGCCCGGGGCUUAACCCCGGGUCUGCAGUCGAUACGGGCAGGCUAGAGUUCGGUAGGGGAGAUCGGAAUUCCUGGUGUAGCGGUGAAAUGCGUAGAUAUUGGGAGGAACACCGGUGGCGAAGGCGGCCCCCUGGGCUGGUACUGACGCUGAUGCGCGAAAGCGUGGGUAGCAAACGGG
RNAcentral lists this ribosomal RNA (253 nucleotides) under uncultured bacterium. RNAcentral describes it as "partial 16S ribosomal RNA". It matches the Rfam family "Bacterial small subunit ribosomal RNA", at positions 524 to 776 of the family's 1533-position model. The record is from RNAcentral.